CCUACGGGAGGCAGCAGUGGGGAAUAUUGGACAAUGGGGGGAACCCUGAUCCAGCCAUGCCGCGUGUGUGAAGAAGGCCCUCGGGUUGUAAAGCACUUUCAGUGAGGAAGAACGCCUGGUGGUUAAUACCCAUCAGGAAAGACAUCACUCACAGAAGAAGCACCGGCUAACUCCGUGCCAGCAGCCGCGGUAAUACGGAGGGUGCGAGCGUUAAUCGGAAUUACUGGGCGUAAAGCGCGCAUAGGUGGCUUGAUAAGCCGGUUGUGAAAGCCCCGGGCUCAACCUGGGAACGGCAUCCGGAACUGUCAAGCUAGAGUGCAGGAGAGGAAGGUAGAAUUCCCGGUGUAGCGGUGAAAUGCGUAGAGAUCGGGAGGAAUACCAGUGGCGAAGGCGGCCUUCUGGACUGACACUGACACUGAGGUGCGAAAGCGUGGGUAGCAAACAGGAUUAGAUACCCGAGUAGUC
RNAcentral lists this ribosomal RNA (465 nucleotides) under Vreelandella stevensii. Its description in RNAcentral is "partial 16S ribosomal RNA". It matches the Rfam family "Bacterial small subunit ribosomal RNA", at positions 338 to 795 of the family's 1533-position model. The record is from RNAcentral. Lineage: Bacteria; Pseudomonadati; Pseudomonadota; Gammaproteobacteria; Oceanospirillales; Halomonadaceae.